CAGGCCCUACGGGGCGCAGCAGUCGCGAAACCUCCGCAAUGCGCGAAAGCGCGACGGGGUCACCCCGAGUGCCAUCCGCUGAGGAUGGCUUUUCCCCGCUGUAGAAAGCCGGGGGAAUAAGCGGGGGGCAAGUCUGGUGUCAGCCGCCGCGGUAAUA
Molecule: ribosomal RNA, 157 nt
Filed under: uncultured crenarchaeote
Lineage: Archaea; Thermoproteati; Thermoproteota
Description: partial 16S ribosomal RNA
Rfam family: Archaeal small subunit ribosomal RNA
Source: RNAcentral